GAAAUGCGAUAAGUAAUGUGAAUUGCAGAACUCAGUGAAUCAUCGAAUCUUUGAACGCACAUUGCGCCCGCCAGCACUCUGGCGGGCAUGCCUGUUCGAGCGUCAUUUCAACCCUCAGAACCCCUUGCGGGAUCUGGCGUUGGGGAUUGGCAUCCAGCCAGCCCCGAAAUCUAGUGGCGGUCCCUCCGCGACCUCCCCUGUGCAGUAGCGAUACCUCGCAGCGGGACAGCGGUCUGACCACGCCGUAAAACCCCCAACUUCUCAAGGUUGACCUCGAAUCAGGUAGGAAUACGCGCUGAACUUAAGC
RNAcentral lists this unclassified non-coding RNA (307 nucleotides) under plant metagenome. RNAcentral describes it as "partial contains 5.8S ribosomal RNA, internal transcribed spacer 2, and large subunit ribosomal RNA". The stretch from base 1 to 105 matches the Rfam family "5.8S ribosomal RNA", at positions 50 to 154 of the family's 154-position model. The record is from RNAcentral.